AAAAUGUAUUUAUCAAAUAAUGUAUAAUCAUGGCAAAAUCUGAAUUAUUGUAAAUUUUUUGUAUAUUGUUAAAAUUGUAAUUCUAAAUUGUAUUUUAAAAUAAUUAUUUCUGAUAUUGUUUUUAUUUAACCCAUGAUGAAAACUGGACUAUAUAUAUAGAUAUAUAGCUAUAUCUAAACAUAUAUAAGUAUGAACUAUUUAAAAUUUUUAAUAGUUUUUUUCUUUUUGGUGCCUAUAAUUGAUUGGUCAUUUCUGCUGGCUUUUCUCCAAUGAACUUUGAAAUCUUUCUGUAUAUGCUAUCAAUAAGAAACUACCCUGGAACAUUAGAAAAAUCCAACAAGAGACUUGGUUUCAUCAAGCACAUUAUCAGACUUUGAGAAGAUAUCAAAGGCAUUGACUUUCAAAAUCAUCUUUUUCUAAGAAGAAAGCAAUGGAAAAAAAUUUUCUUCAUUCAGUGAAUCCCCAGUUUGGGGUUUGGGGGGCUUAGAGACAUUGUGAAAUCAAAUCUUGUGUUAUUUUUCUUCUGGCUCACUUUUUUUGAGAAGGUUUAUGGGCUAUUUGGCUGGUGAGACACGAUCCCCUCCUAAGAAAAUGUAGGUGCUCAGACAGGUAACCUCUGCUGCUACUGUUUUUAUUUGUUUGUUUGUUUAAUUUCAUUUAAGAUUUGUUUUUGUUGUAAUAGGAUUUUUUAAAAUGUAAUAUAUUGCAGGAAUUAUAACCAGGUUCACUGCUUUCUUUCUUUCUUUUUCUUUUUUUUCUUUAAAAAAAACAAACAAAGUUUUAUUUAAAAUACAUUUAGGCGCCUUUGAAGCUUGGAUUUUGGAAUGUUUCAGUAGUGGACAGAAAUCUGCUGUUGGAAUCUUCUAGUCUUCCAGGUUUAAUUUGAAAUGUUUUUAGUUUUGUUUUGGAUUUUUGUGUGAUAUUUUGUUUCCUUUAUACCAAUGCCAUUUUGCCAUGCUGUUUUGGGGUGGCUGCCUAACUCUAGUGAAAAAUUUUCUAUAUUAACAAGUUUGGCCUUUUAAAUCCUUAAUGUUUUGCAGUUUUUACAUUGUUUUUAAAGAAAUAUUCUAACUUCUUCCAAUGUUACUGUUCUUUACCAGCCUUUUCAGGAGCCAAAAAAACAAAUACAAACAAACAAAAAAAUACCCAGAGAAAAAACUUUCCUUCUUCCCCCUUCCUGAUGAUGAGUGAGAAGUAUUGAGAACUUUCGGGGUCAGUGCCCUUCUAAACUCCCCUUCCCCCAAUAAUGCAGCUGUGUAAUGAAUGGUAAAUGCAGCGGUUUGGAUUCAGGCACAGCCCCAGCCUGCUGGCAGCAGAGAAUUAAACUGGUAGGUGGCAGCAGAGGAAGAAAUUCUUCAGAUCCAUGGCUACUGACUUAAAAUCUGCACAGGAGAGGAGAUGGAGCAUGGCAUGCCAAGUGAAGCAAGGGGGGCACAAAAAUGGAGACAGGACUGGAGUUCUGGGCUUUGACUCUACAUGGUUCUUUUUGAAGUCACCAGUGAUCUUUUUGCUUGCUUCAGCAACAGAAUGGAAGAAGAUAGAGUUGUCUCUGCUUUUUCAAGUGGAAAAUAAAAAUACACAGAACAAGGAAGCAAUAACUCUAACCUGUUUGAUUCAGUGUGUUUUCUAAAAUAAAAACACCAUGAAUUGGAAAUAAA
Carlito syrichta (Philippine tarsier) is the source of this 1658-nucleotide long non-coding RNA. RefSeq lists it as uncharacterized. Lineage: Eukaryota; Metazoa; Chordata; Mammalia; Primates; Tarsiidae. The record is from RefSeq and is a predicted model, not a curated record. The transcript is spliced from 3 exons.